CAUAUGACACCAUGGACCCCGGCACACAGGGCACGCCCUUCACUGUGAGAACACGACAACGGCAGCCAGUUCAGGACACCCUGUUAUCAUGGCAAAGUCACAACCAGAUCUUAGGGCCUCAGGCCGUCUCUGUGACACCUGGACACUAUGGGACACAUCUGGGAAGAUGACAAUCCAGGAGGCAGUUAGGUGAGAAGCGCUGACCUCACGGCAGUGACAGAUGCCUGCUGAAAACCCAGCUGUGUUCCACACAAGAGUUUGGCACAACAGUUUUUCCCAACAGAAAGGCAGGGAUGGCUGCUCCACCGCCAGCAAGAGUGAGAUGGUCGCCCUCCACCCUUACCUCCUAGUUCCCUGCAACACAGGGCAGAAGAGGAAUGGAUUCCCACCACUGCAAGUCCUGCUGUGGCCUGGGGCUCCCAAUAGCUUAAACACAACAAAGCCUGGAGUUGAGACCUUCUUAGUUCUCCUGGCCAACCCCUGGCCUUCCUCUUCCAGGCGGUUCUUCACCUCUGAUCAUCUCCGAGGCCCAAGGGCUAGCCAGGGCCAGCCCACCAAGGAGUCCAGGAGUUCCUGCAUCUGGUAGGGAGGCGUGGCCCAGAGGCCUCCUUGUGUCCUCACGCCGGCGCUGUCCUGGGCAGGGCGGGCCACCUAGGGCAACAGUGCUCCAGCCUCGUUGCACAUGGAAUCAUCUAGGAGGUUUUUUGAGACAGGGUCUUGCUCUGUCACCCAGGCUGGAGUACAGUGCCUUGAUCACAGCUCACUGCAACCUUGAACUCCUGUGCUCUAGUGAUCCUCCCACCUCAGCCUCCCGAUAGCUGUGACUGCAGGGCACAUGCCACCACGCCAGGCUAAUUUUUAUAUUUUUAGUAGAGAUGACGUUUUGUCAUGUUGUCCAGGCUGGUCUUGAACUCCUGGGCUCAAGUGAUCCACCUACCUUGGCCCAUCUAGGAGUUUUUAAAGUGCCCGAAUGACCAAAGCAGACAAGUCUUUCACC
RNAcentral lists this long non-coding RNA (997 nucleotides) under Pan troglodytes (chimpanzee). RNAcentral describes it as "long non-coding RNA NONPTRT009096". The record is from RNAcentral. Lineage: Eukaryota; Metazoa; Chordata; Mammalia; Primates; Hominidae.